Molecule: long non-coding RNA, 629 nt
Filed under: Lepisosteus oculatus (spotted gar)
Lineage: Eukaryota; Metazoa; Chordata; Actinopteri; Semionotiformes; Lepisosteidae
Description: lncRNA (ENSLOCG00000022343.1)
Source: RNAcentral
UACAGCGGUGGAGUCUGCCAGGAACCGGAACCUCGAGCGCAACUCAGUUCGGGACGAUAGAUCCCAUUAAUAUGACAUCCGAUUCUCUGCUGGAGAACAUGAUCUAUAAAUGAUCUAUUUGUUCUACACAUCACCUGAAAAACAGGCCCCUAGACCCGAAGGAGGAACCCGCAGCCCUCUGCCGAGGCGGUGAAGAGUUUUUUUUUCGGUUUGCGUAUCUUCAAACGCGCUUCUCUGCCUCCCCCUCGACGCCGCGUCCCUCUCCCCUCUCCCCUCUCCCCUCUCCCUCUCCCUCUCCCUCUCCCACUCCCACACCCGCGGAUCCGCUCGCCAGACUCGUCCCGCUGCUCCCGCCUCCUCCCCGCCCCCGGCCGCUGCGCAGUCUGCUCGGUGCGCUCGCGCGGCCAGCACGUCACGGACACCGCGAGCUGGACCGCACGCGGCAAGGGGCAGUGCCGGACGGACCCCGCCGCCCUCUCGCUCCCCUGUCUCCCGCCUGCAAGUGCACCGGGACAGCCGCCGCGUCCUGGCGCCGAGAGCGUCCGCCGAGCUUUCAAUUUGAUGGUCCUGAAAGGCGGUACCGAGAGUUUCCCUGUCGAGCAGGAAAUGAUGUAGCCGUCUGUUUCUGA